This 947-nucleotide long non-coding RNA is filed under the name Homo sapiens (human). RNAcentral's name for it is "non-protein coding lnc-BANP-14:8". The record is from RNAcentral. Lineage: Eukaryota; Metazoa; Chordata; Mammalia; Primates; Hominidae.
UACUCGCACACACGCAUACACGUGCCCAGACCUACAGACACACUCACAUUUGCACAGUCACACGUGAAUAUAGUAUAUGCACACACACACUUAUGUGCGCAGACCCACAGACACACACAUUCACACUCUCACACAUGUGAAUAUAGUACAUGCACACACACACGCAUACACACUCGUGCCCAGACACACACACUCACACAUUCGCACACUCAGAGUGCCCCCCUCCCUCUCACAGGCCUUGUCCUGGGGACGAGUCAAGCCGUCAGGUACCUACACUCUGAGCUCCCGGAUCACUGGGCCGACACCGGAGGCUGCUGCUGUUUGUGGUCCGUCUUCCUGUGGAGUGUAUUCGACUGCGGGGGCGUCCACAAGGUGGGUGUGGGUGGGCCCGGAGACCUUUCUUCCGGGAGGCCAAGUUUCCAAAGCCAGUCCUUCACGUUCAAGGAUGCCCUCUCCCUGCAGGAUCCUGGACUUGUCAUGGGGUCUGGAUUAGGUUAUGCUAAUGGCAUCCACACUUGGCCUUUCCCCUCUUUCCUUAUAAAUCAGCCAACAAUGGGAGGCCGUGGGCUUCGCCAGAAGCCUCUGGAAACAGAGCUGCUCCUUUCCAGCAGGCCAGGCCGACCGGGGAGGCUGCGGCCCAUCGUGCGCUGGGGGAAGGUGAGCCAGGCUCCCAUCACGUGCCGGGAGCUGAUCUUGGCAGGUCGCGUCCUCCCGAAGCCUGCACUUCAGCCCCAGGGUUUUCCGACCGCCUCUGCUCCCAGAGGGGACCCGCAGGGACGAAGAGGCCGAACACAGCACCGAGACCUCAGUGUCGGGCGCGGGUGCUCCCAAAGCGCAGCGGGCCCACCUCCCCCGGCAGAGGAUCGUGCGGCGGUCAAAGUCGCACACGGGGCUUCUGAGACGUGCGGCCCGGGCCUAAGAGCUGCAUGUGUGCAAGCCGCUCCGUG